CAAAGACCAACGAAACCCUAAACAUAAUAGGCCCCCCCGCCGACCCUCCCAGUGAGAAGGGGGAACACCCUCCCUAGCGGCGACCUCCCUCAACCCCGGCGCCACCUAACCCCACAAACCAGACAAAGAAAUCGGAUUGAAAGAGGCGAAGGAAGGAGAUUCGGUCGUUACCUGAGCUACUGAUUCACCACAAAGGUGAGCUUUCUUUCAAAGUUUCACGCGAUUGGGAGAGAGACGAGUUGUGAGAGGGAUUUGGUGUGAGAUUUGUAGAGGGAAGCGAGAGAGAAAAACGGAGAUUGUGAGUUUUGAUUUCGUGAAAGGGAGAUUGGGAGAGAGGAGGACGAUGAAGCAAUUCGUUGCUGUUGCUUUUAUUUUUUUUGUUUUAUUUUAUUUAGUUCAAGCCAAACAAACCUUUAAGUUAUUAAAAAGAAAAACCAAUUUUUUUUUAAUAUGUUUAGU
This 459-nucleotide long non-coding RNA is filed under the name Lathyrus oleraceus (garden pea). RNAcentral's name for it is "Pisum sativum (pea) long non-coding RNA (PSAT_LNC041678)". Lineage: Eukaryota; Viridiplantae; Streptophyta; Magnoliopsida; Fabales; Fabaceae. The record is from RNAcentral.